This 208-nucleotide ribosomal RNA is filed under the name uncultured bacterium. RNAcentral's name for it is "partial 16S ribosomal RNA". It matches the Rfam family "Bacterial small subunit ribosomal RNA", at positions 524 to 731 of the family's 1533-position model. The record is from RNAcentral.
UACGGAGGGUGCAAGCGUUAUCCGGAUUUACUGGGUUUAAAGGGUGUGUAGGCGGAUCUUUAAGUCAGCGGUGAAAUCUCCGGGCUCAACCCGGAAACUGCCAUUGAUACUAUUGGUCUUGAAUAUUGUGGAGGUGGGCGGAACGGGUCAUGUAGCGGUGAAAUGCUUAGAGAUGACCCGGAACACCGAUUGCGAAGGCAGCCCACUA